This 496-nucleotide ribosomal RNA is filed under the name uncultured bacterium. RNAcentral's name for it is "bacterial SSU rRNA". It matches the Rfam family "Bacterial small subunit ribosomal RNA", at positions 903 to 1397 of the family's 1533-position model. The record is from RNAcentral.
AAAGGAAUAGACGGGGGCCCGCACAAGCGGUGGAUCAUGUGGUUCAAUUCGACGCUACGCGAAGAACCUUACCUGGGCUCGAACGACUAGUGGUACCCUUUAUGAAAGUAGAGGGGACCCGCAAGGGAGCUAGCCGAGGUGCUGCAUGGUUGUCGUCAGCUCGUGUCGUGAGAUGUUGGGUUAAGUCCCGCAACGAGCGCAACCCCUGUCCUGUGUUGCUACUCCGCAAGGAGAGGACUCUCAGGAGACUGCCGUGGAUAACACGGAGGAAGGUGGGGAUGACGUCAAAUCAUCAUGGCCUUUAUGUCCAGGGCUACACACGUGAUACAAUGGUACAGACAGAGGGCUGCAAGACCGUAAGGUGGAGCCAAUCCCUAAACUGUAUCCCAGUUCAGAUCGAGGGCUGCAAUUCGCCCUCGUGAAGUUGGAAUCGCUAGUAAUCGCAGAUCAGCAGGCUGCGGUGAAUACGUUCCCGGGCCUUGUACACACCGCCCGU